CUCCCUCUCCCCUAUUUCCUUCGUUUGUUUCAUCCAACUCUUCUUCUUCUUCUUCCUCUCUCUCCCUCUCUCGAUCGAGGAACAGGGUCAGCUUCUCGUCUCUGUUGCAUAUGGCAAUGGACGCUUCCAUGAUCACCAAUUGCAAAUCCAUCGCUUCGCCUCCCGAGUUCUCAGUGCAACUUCACUUUGGAAAGAAAAGUUAGCUUCCCCAGUCAAAGAUCUCAGAGUGUUAAGGUUAGUCGGAAGGCUAAGACGGCUGGAGUGCAGUGGCGAACAGAGGUAAAAUUGCAGUCCGUGAGAUGGGGAUUUCUUAUGUAGCUGCCUAUUCAACCAAAGAAAAGGAUGCCCUUCGUGUGAAACUGGCUGAUGAAGCAGUUUGCACCGGCAAGUCUCCCAGCAGCCAAUCGUAAGUUUCUUUCAUUUUCAAUUUCAAGUUGAACUUCCUUCUGUUACUAUCGUUCCAUUUUAUGAGUUUUCAUCAUUAAUCUGCUAGAUAAAUGUCAAAUAUAUAUCAUCAUCAUCAUCUUUAACCGUCCUGUGUUUCCUUUUAGUGAUUUGUUUGUUGUUGAUCACUUCACAUUUCCAUAUUGCAAUUAGGGAUUGUACGUCCCUAAUUUAUCAGCAAUGUCUGGUAUCCUUAGAGCCACACUUUUAGCAGGCUGAUAGAGGUCAAAAUAUGUUUGGUCAUCUAAUGCCAUUCUAUAUGAUAUGUGCUAGAUUCUUUGUCAGUCUUCAAUCUGCUACCUGGUGGUGGGAGAAGAUUUAACUCUCUAGGACUGUUAAAAUGUGUGAUUGAAUCUUGAAACUCACAAUUCUCGCCUAAACCUUUUAUGUUUUGGUGGUGGGGGACGUGGAAUGUGUCUUGGUGAGGAGCCAGAGGAGUUUGUAAAGUUGCUGCAGAGACAUAACCAAAAGCUUUUGGUACUGUGGAAUCUCUUUUGAACGAGAGAGGUUCCUUCUAUUUCAUGGGAAUGAACACUAGGAUUCAGGUUAGAUUGAAAGCUACUAUGGGAAAGUUGUUGAUUAAUCUGCAAUUUCCUCGUAGGCAACAGGAUUUCAGAAAUGGGAAAGUUGAUAAAGCUUUCAUUGUGAAGCACGAAGAGGAGUUAGUCGCUGUAAGAACACCUUGCCUGAUAUCAAAUUCCGGCCUGAGGAUAUCGUAGCAGUGAAAUUCAGCUGCUGCUUAGAAGAAGCAAAUGAUGGAACUUCCCAUUUUUUUGGUCAGUCUUUUAUGUGUUUCUGUGUUAGCAUUUUGCAGAGUCUUGGAAUAAAAGUAGGACGUUUCUGUUUGUUUCUGCCUUUUUUCACAUUCUGUUUGGGAACUUUGUUCGCUGGUUUUGGUGAAUCAUUUGGUUUAAUA
Tarenaya hassleriana is the source of this 1360-nucleotide RNA transcript. It is a transcript of the gene named biotin carboxylase, chloroplastic-like, with no coding region annotated. The transcript has 5 exons. Lineage: Eukaryota; Viridiplantae; Streptophyta; Magnoliopsida; Brassicales; Cleomaceae. The record is from RefSeq and is a predicted model, not a curated record.